Molecule: ribosomal RNA, 478 nt
Filed under: uncultured bacterium
Lineage: Bacteria
Description: partial 16S ribosomal RNA
Rfam family: Bacterial small subunit ribosomal RNA
Source: RNAcentral
GACGAACGCUGGCGGCGUGCUUAACACAUGCAAGUCGAACGGUAAGGCCCUUCGGGGUACACGAGUGGCGAACGGGUGAGUAACACGUGGGUGAUCUGCCCUGCACUUCGGGAUAAGCCUGGGAAACUGGGUCUAAUACCGGAUAGGACCACUGCCUGCAUGGGUGGUGGUGGAAAGCUUUUGCGGUGUGGGAUGGGCCCGCGGCCUAUCAGCUUGUUGGUGGGGUGACGGCCUACCAAGGCGACGACGGGUAGCCGGCCUGAGAGGGUGGCCGGCCACACUGGGACUGAGAUACGGCCCAGACUACUACGGGAGGCAGCAGUGGGGAAUAUUGCACAAUGGGCGCAAGCCUGAUGCAGCGACGCCGCGUGAGGGAUGACGGCCUUCGGGUUGUAAACCUCUUUCAGCACCGACGAAGCGCAAGUGACGGUAGGUGCAGAAGAAGGACCGGCCAACUACGUGCCAGCAGCCGCCGUAA